RNAcentral lists this long non-coding RNA (1293 nucleotides) under Brassica napus (rape). RNAcentral describes it as "long non-coding RNA (BNAP_LNC014104)". Lineage: Eukaryota; Viridiplantae; Streptophyta; Magnoliopsida; Brassicales; Brassicaceae. The record is from RNAcentral.
GGAAUAUGUUAUGGAACUCUGUGUUACUGUCGUAUGCAGCUGACUUUAAGAUGAAAAGCUUGCAGAGAGAGUUCAUUGAGAUGCGUGGCGCUGGUGUCUCUCCUGACCUUACCACAUUUAACAUCCGUGCUCUUGCGUUUUCUAGGUUGGCUCUUUUCUGGGAUCUGCAUCUUACGCUUGAACAUAUGAGAGUUUUUGACAUUGUUCCGGAUCUGGUGACUUUUGGAUGUGUGGUCGAUGCGUACAUGGAUAAGAGGCUAGCGAGGAAUUUGGAAUUUGUAUACAACCGAAUGAACCUGGACGACUAUCCUGUUGUUUUAACUGAUCCACUUGUCUUUGAAGUACUGGGGAAAGGAGAUUUCCAUCUUAGCUCAGAAGCUGUUUUGGAGUUUGGUCAACGGAGAAACUGGACGUAUAGAAAACUAAUUGGAGUUUAUCUCAAAAAGAAGUUGCGAAGAGACCAGAUUUUCUGGAAUUACUAGCCACCUGACGUGCCACCUCUUUGCCGCAGCGUGAUAAACUUAUCAGAUGCUUAAAACACUGAGGUUAGAGAGUGAUUGUGCAACUAGAUUUUGUUAAAUGGUGUUGUAUAUGCAGUGUGUUUUAUUUAUAUUUUGUUUGGUGUGGACAGUUAGUUUAGCAUGUCUGUGAAGCCACACUUAUUGGUUACAAAGCUAUCCUUGUUGCAAUAUAUUAUUGUGUUUCCGACACCCUGAUAGGUAAUUCGAAGAGGCCAAAUGAACUGCUGAUAUGGACAAGAAAUAAAGAGAGAGACUGGUGGACUUGGAAGGUUUUCGGUUGAAGAAGACUCACGACGAAGGCCUAGAUAUAAAUAGAGUUCUUCAUUUGUUCUUCAUGCUUUGAAUGUUGUUGUAGACAGACCCUAUGAGUCUUCUCUCUCAGUCGCCAUGAGAAAGAUGAUUCAUGUUAUGUUCGCCAUGAGAGUGUAGCUUCGAAGCUGUAUCGUUUUCUUAUUGAAUUGCUAGUUCCGUGAGUUAGAGAUAUCCAAACUCUAUCACACUGAUAAGCCAUUGAGAGCUUAUGUGAGACAGACUAGGAGAGACCUGGGGAAUAUGUUAUGGAACUCUGUGUUACUGUCGUAUGCAGCUGACUUUAAGAUGAAAAGCUUGCAGAGAGAGUUCAUUGAGAUGCGUGGCGCUGGUGUCUCUCCUGACCUUACCACAUUUAACAUCCGUGCUCUUGCGUUUUCUAGGUUGGCUCUUUUCUGGGAUCUGCAUCUUACGCUUGAACAUAUGAGAGUUUUUGACAUUGUUCCGGAUCUGGUGACUUUUG